UACGUAGGGUCCGAGCGUUGUCCGGAAUCAUUGGGCGUAAAGCGCGUGUAGGCGGUUCGGUAAGUCCGCUGUGAAAGUCGGGGGCUCAACCCUCGGAUGCCGGUGGAUACUGUCGGACUAGAGUACGGAAGAGGCGAGUGGAAUUCCUGGUGUAGCGGUGAAAUGCGCAGAUAUCAGGAGGAACACCGAUUGCGAAGGCAGCUCGCUGGGACGUUACUGACGCUGAGACGCGAAAGCGUGGGGAGCAAACAGG
This 253-nucleotide ribosomal RNA is filed under the name uncultured bacterium. RNAcentral describes it as "partial 16S ribosomal RNA". It matches the Rfam family "Bacterial small subunit ribosomal RNA", at positions 524 to 776 of the family's 1533-position model. The record is from RNAcentral.